AGACAGGUGGUGCAUGGUUGUCGUCAGCUCGUGUCGUGAGAUGUUGGGUUAAGUCCCGCAACGAGCGCAACCCUUAUAUUUAGUUGCCAGCACUUCGGGUGGGCACUCUAGAUAGACUGCCGGUGACAAACCGGAGGAAGGUGGGGAUGACGUCAAAUCAUCAUGCCCCUUAUGACCUGGGCUACACACGUACUACAAUGGCCGGUACAACGGGCUGCGAAAUCGCGAGAUGGAGCCAAUCCCAACAAAGCCGGUCUCAGUUCGGAUUGCAGGCUGCAACUCGCCUGCAUGAAGUCGGAAUUGCUAGUAAUCGCGGAUCAGCAUGCCGCGGUGAAUACGUUCCCGGGUCUUGUACACACCGCCCGUCACACCACGAGAGUUUAUAACACCCGAAGUCGGUGGGGUAACCGCAAGGAGCCAGCCGCCGAAGGUGGGAUAGAUGAUUGGGGUGAAGUCG
Molecule: ribosomal RNA, 457 nt
Filed under: Paenibacillus sp. EKM203P
Lineage: Bacteria; Bacillati; Bacillota; Bacilli; Caryophanales; Paenibacillaceae
Description: bacterial SSU rRNA
Rfam family: Bacterial small subunit ribosomal RNA
Source: RNAcentral